RNAcentral lists this ribosomal RNA (497 nucleotides) under uncultured bacterium. RNAcentral's name for it is "partial 16S ribosomal RNA". It matches the Rfam family "Bacterial small subunit ribosomal RNA", at positions 28 to 507 of the family's 1533-position model. The record is from RNAcentral.
GACGAACGCUGGCGGCGUGCCUAAUACAUGCAAGUUGAGCGCUGAAGGUUGGUCCUUGUACCAACUGGAUGAGCAGCGAACGGGUUAGUAACGCGUGGGGAAUCUGCCUUUGAGCGGGGGACAACAUUUGGAAACGAAUGCUAAUACCGCAUAAAAACUUUAAACACAAGUUUUAAGUUUGAAAGAUGCAAUUGCAUCACUCAAAGAUGAUCCCGCGUUGUAUUAGCUAGUUGGUGAGGUAAAGGCUCACCAAGGCGAUGAUACAUAGCCGACCUGAGAGGGUGAUCGGCCACAUUGGGACUGAGACACGGCCCAAACUCCUACGGGAGGCAGCAGUAGGGAAUCUUCGGCAAUGGACGAAAGUCUGAACGAGCAACGCCGCGUGAGUGAAGAAGGGUUUCGGAUCGUAAAACUCUGUUGGUAGAGAAGAACGUUGGUGAGAGUGGAAAGCUCAUCAAGUGACGGUAACUACCCAGAAAGGGACGGCUAACUACGUG